RNAcentral lists this ribosomal RNA (334 nucleotides) under uncultured bacterium. RNAcentral's name for it is "bacterial SSU rRNA". It matches the Rfam family "Bacterial small subunit ribosomal RNA", at positions 568 to 898 of the family's 1533-position model. The record is from RNAcentral.
UGUGUAGGCGGCUUCUUUAAGUUUGGUGUGAAAUCUCCCGGCUCAACUGGGAGGGUGCGCCGAAUACUGAAGGGCUAGAGUGCGGGAGAGGAGAGUGGAAUUCCUGGUGUAGCGGUGAAAUGCGUAGAUAUCAGGAGGAACACCGGUGGUGUAGACGGCUCUCUGGACCGUAACUGACGCUGAGACACGAAAGCGUGGGUAGCAAACAGGAUUAGAUUACCCUGGUAGUCCACGCCCUAAACGAUGCAUAUUUGGUGUGGGUCAUUCAGUUGAUCCGUGCCGGAGCUAACGCGUUAAAUAUGCCGGCCUGGGGAGUACAGUCGCAAAGGCUGAA